Molecule: non-coding RNA, 89 nt
Organism: Cryptococcus depauperatus CBS 7841
Lineage: Eukaryota; Fungi; Basidiomycota; Tremellomycetes; Tremellales; Cryptococcaceae
Source: Rfam
GCCUUCGUAGCUGAGUUGGUUACAGCGUCCGACUUUUAGAGCCAAGGUUCAAAAUCGGGCGAUCACGGGUUCGAGCCCCGUCGAAGGCU